Molecule: ribosomal RNA, 497 nt
Filed under: uncultured bacterium
Lineage: Bacteria
Description: partial 16S ribosomal RNA
Rfam family: Bacterial small subunit ribosomal RNA
Source: RNAcentral
GAUGAACGCUGGCGGCGUGCCUAAUACAUGCAAGUCGAGCGAACAGACGAGGAGCUUGCUCCUCUGACGUUAGCGGCGGACGGGUGAGUAACACGUGGAUAACCUACCUAUAAGACUGGGAUAACUUCGGGAAACCGGAGCUAAUACCGGAUAAUAUAUUGAACCGCAUGGUUCAAUAGUGAAAGACGGUUUUGCUGUCACUUAUAGAUGGAUCCGCGCCGCAUUAGCUAGUUGGUAAGGUAACGGCUUACCAAGGCAACGAUGCGUAGCCGACCUGAGAGGGUGGUCGGCCACACUGGAACUGAGACACGGCCCAGACUCCUACGGGAGGCAGCAGUAGGGAAUCUUCCGCAAUGGGCGAAAGCCUGACGGAGCAAAGCCGCGUGAGUGAUGAAGGUCUUCGGAUCGUAAAACUCUGUUAUUAGUGAAGAACAAAUGUGUAAGUAACUAUGCACGUCUUGACGGUACCUAAUCAGAAAGCCACGGCUAACUACGUG